GCUGUUCGCCAUUUAAAGUGGUACGUGAGCUGGGUUUAAAACGUCGUGAGACAGUUUGGUCCCUAUCUGCCGUGGGCGUUGGAAGUUUGAAGGGGGCUGUUCCUAGUACGAGAGGACCGGAAUGGACAGAUCUCUGGUGGACCGGUUGUUACGCCAGUAGCAUAGCCGGGUAGCUAAAUCUGGAAAAGAUAAACGCUGAAAGCAUCUAAGCGUGAAACUUGCCUUAAGAUAAGACUUCCCUUGCACUUUAAGUGCACUCAAGAGUCGUUCUAGACCAGGACGUUGAUAGGUCAGAUGUGGAAGUGCAGUAAUGCAUGAAGCUAACUGAUACUAAUUGCUCGUGAGGCUUGAUCCUAUAACUUUA
This 364-nucleotide ribosomal RNA is filed under the name Betaproteobacteria bacterium. Its description in RNAcentral is "partial 23S ribosomal RNA". It matches the Rfam family "Bacterial large subunit ribosomal RNA", at positions 2576 to 2925 of the family's 2925-position model. The record is from RNAcentral. Lineage: Bacteria; Pseudomonadati; Pseudomonadota; Betaproteobacteria.